This 490-nucleotide ribosomal RNA is filed under the name uncultured bacterium. Its description in RNAcentral is "bacterial SSU rRNA". It matches the Rfam family "Bacterial small subunit ribosomal RNA", at positions 30 to 507 of the family's 1533-position model. The record is from RNAcentral.
AUUGAACGCUGGCGGUAUGCUUAACACAUGCAAGUCGAACGGCAGCACAGGGUAGCUUGCUAUCCGGGUGGCGAGUGGCGGACGGGUGAGUAACGCGUAGGAAUCUACCUUUUCGUGGGGGAUAACCCGGGGAAACUCGGGCUAAUACCGCAUACGCCCUACGGGGGAAAGCGGGGGACCUUCGGGCCUCGCGCGGAACGAUGAGCCUGCGUCCUAUCAGGUAGUUGGUGAGGUAAUGGCUCACCAAGCCGACGACGGGUAGCUGGUCUGAGAGGACGACCAGCCACACUGGGACUGAGACACGGCCCAGACUCCUACGGGAGGCAGCAGUGGGGAAUAUUGGACAAUGGGGGAAACCCUGAUCCAGCAAUACCGCGUGUGUGAAGAAGGCCUUCGGGUUGUAAAGCACUUUUAGCAGGAAAGAAAGGCUGUGCGCUAAUACCGCAUUGCUUUGACGUUACUUGCAGAAAAAGCACCGGCUAACUCCGUG